UGGGGAAUAUUGCACAAUGGGGGAAACCCUGAUGCAGCGACGCCGCGUGAGCGAAGAAGGCUUUCGAGUCGUAAAGCUCUGUCCUAUGAGAAGAUAAUGACGGUAUCAUAGGAGGAAGCCCUGGCUAAAUACGUGCCAGCAGCCGCGGUAAUACGUAUGGGGCGAGCGUUGUCCGGAAUUAUUGGGCGUAAAGGGUACGUAGGCGGUUUUUUAAGUCAGGUGUCAAAGCGUGGAGCUUAACUCCAUUAAGCACUUGAAACUGAAAGACUUGAGUGAAGGAGAGGAAAGUGGAAUUCCUAGUGUAGCGGUGAAAUGCGUAGAUAUUAGGAGGAAUACCGGUGGCGAAGGCGACUUUCUGGACUUUUAAUGACGCUCAGGUACGAAAGCGUGGGGAGCAAACAGG
This 403-nucleotide ribosomal RNA is filed under the name Verrucomicrobiota bacterium. Its description in RNAcentral is "Verrucomicrobia bacterium partial 16S ribosomal RNA". It matches the Rfam family "Bacterial small subunit ribosomal RNA", at positions 355 to 776 of the family's 1533-position model. Lineage: Bacteria; Pseudomonadati; Verrucomicrobiota. The record is from RNAcentral.